GGGCAAUUAGCUCAGUUGGUUAGAGCGUUCGAUUCACAUUCGAAAGGUCACAAGUUCGAAUCUUGUAUUGCCCACCA
This 77-nucleotide transfer RNA is filed under the name Candidatus Peribacteraceae bacterium. RNAcentral describes it as "tRNA-Val". It matches the Rfam family "tRNA". From Rfam's summary of the family: Transfer RNA (tRNA) molecules are approximately 80 nucleotides in length. Their secondary structure includes four short double-helical elements and three loops (D, anti-codon, and T loops). The record is from RNAcentral. Lineage: Bacteria; Candidatus Peregrinibacteriota; Candidatus Peribacteria; Candidatus Peribacterales.